UAAAUACUCCCUCUGUCCGAAAAAGCUUGUCCCUCGAAUGAAUUUAUCUAGCACUAACUUGAUGCUAGAUACAUCCAUUUAAGAGACAUCCAUUUGAGGGACAAGCUUUUUCGGACAGAGGGAGUAGUAA
Triticum urartu is the source of this 130-nucleotide non-coding RNA. The record is from Rfam. NCBI's taxonomy places the organism in Eukaryota, Viridiplantae, Streptophyta, Magnoliopsida, Poales, Poaceae.